Danio rerio (zebrafish) is the source of this 64-nucleotide non-coding RNA. Lineage: Eukaryota; Metazoa; Chordata; Actinopteri; Cypriniformes; Danionidae. The record is from Rfam.
GUGGUCUUUAUGAAGGCAGGUGCAGAAACUAUGCACUAGUGGUGCCUGUCUGAUGUUUGGCCAU